RNAcentral lists this non-coding RNA (159 nucleotides) under Falsochrobactrum ovis. RNAcentral describes it as "6S / SsrS RNA". It matches the Rfam family "6S / SsrS RNA". From Rfam's summary of the family: E. coli 6S RNA was the first non coding RNA to be sequenced, but its function was unknown until recently. It consists of 184 nucleotides that fold into an extended hairpin structure with a large single-stranded internal bulge. The 6S RNA specifically associates with RNA polymerase holoenzyme containing the sigma70 specificity factor. Lineage: Bacteria; Pseudomonadati; Pseudomonadota; Alphaproteobacteria; Hyphomicrobiales; Brucellaceae. The record is from Rfam by way of RNAcentral.
GGCGAACUGCGCUUCCCGACAGGAGUUUUAGCAUCCCCGGGGCCUUAUUGAUCUCUAAGGGAGCUGUCCCUGUGAGGGCUCGUGGGCCUUCGCAUAUGGCGCCCACCUACUUUGUAGGUUCCCGGGAUCAAUCACAUCCAUCGGUCGUCGUGGUCGCCA